CCUCCCACCCUACCCCGGGUCCCGAGAAGAAGGAGGAGCGGUGAUUCCCGGAACAGCCGGAGUGGGAGGGAAGGCAGGUGAGUCACCGCUCAGCGCACAGAGGACUUCAUCAACGGUUCAGCCUAAUCGUCACACUCAUGAUUGGGAAGCUCUGGCCCAGAAGCUGUUAAGUCCCUGGAGACAAACCUUGGCCCCGAACCCCGACAUCAGUCCCAGAAGGGCCAGUCUGAUAUCCAGAAGAUACUCUCAAAUUAGGAGGUGUUAAAACCAAAAAAGAGCUCUUCCUAAAGUCAGGAAGAUGGAGAAAAUGACAAAAUGCCACCCUUGCAAAGCAAGCCUCAAUCUUCAUCCUGCUGGCUUCUCUCUUCCACUGCAGCAGUAAAAUGAGUUUUUGUUUUGUUUAGAAUAAGAUUCCAUAAUUUAUUUUGUUCAUAAUGUCAUAAAAGAAAAAAUAUAUUGGCUCUUAGUCGUGCAUGCCAAUAUGAAUUUCAUUGUCUUUUUGGAUUCAGUUUGUCAUUACA
Molecule: long non-coding RNA, 521 nt
Organism: Phyllostomus hastatus (greater spear-nosed bat)
Lineage: Eukaryota; Metazoa; Chordata; Mammalia; Chiroptera; Phyllostomidae
Exons: 3
Source: RefSeq, a predicted model, not a curated record